This 465-nucleotide ribosomal RNA is filed under the name Vreelandella stevensii. Its description in RNAcentral is "partial 16S ribosomal RNA". It matches the Rfam family "Bacterial small subunit ribosomal RNA", at positions 338 to 795 of the family's 1533-position model. The record is from RNAcentral. Lineage: Bacteria; Pseudomonadati; Pseudomonadota; Gammaproteobacteria; Oceanospirillales; Halomonadaceae.
CCUACGGGGGGCAGCAGUGGGGAAUAUUGGACAAUGGGCGAAAGCCCGAUCCAGCCAUGCCGCGUGUGUGAAGAAGGCCUUCGGGUUGUAAAGCACUUUCAGUGGGGAAGAAAGCCUUGGGGCUAAUACCCUCGAGGAAGGACAUCACCCACAGAAGAAGCACCGGCUAACUCCGUGCCAGCAGCCGCGGUAAUACGGAGGGUGCGAGCGUUAAUCGGAAUUACUGGGCGUAAAGCGCGCGUAGGCGGUCUGAUAAGCCGGUUGUGAAAGCCCCGGGCUCAACCUGGGAACGGCAUCCGGAACUGUCAGGCUAGAGUGCAGGAGAGGAAGGUAGAAUUCCCGGUGUAGCGGUGAAAUGCGUAGAGAUCGGGAGGAAUACCAGUGGCGAAGGCGGCCUUCUGGACUGACACUGACGCUGAGGUGCGAAAGCGUGGGUAGCAAACAGGAUUAGAUACCCUUGUAGUC